RNAcentral lists this ribosomal RNA (811 nucleotides) under Klebsiella pneumoniae. RNAcentral's name for it is "partial 23S ribosomal RNA". It matches the Rfam family "Bacterial large subunit ribosomal RNA", at positions 398 to 1212 of the family's 2925-position model. The record is from RNAcentral. RNAcentral also lists the same sequence under 4 other names. Lineage: Bacteria; Pseudomonadati; Pseudomonadota; Gammaproteobacteria; Enterobacterales; Enterobacteriaceae.
UGUGAACUCGAAGAGUAGGGCGGGACACGUGGUAUCCUGUCUGAAUAUGGGGGGACCAUCCUCCAAGGCUAAAUACUCCUGACUGACCGAUAGUGAACCAGUACCGUGAGGGAAAGGCGAAAAGAACCCCGGCGAGGGGAGUGAAAAAGAACCUGAAACCGUGUACGUACAAGCAGUGGGAGCACCUUCGGGUGUGACUGCGUACCUUUUGUAUAAUGGGUCAGCGACUUAUAUUCUGUAGCAAGGUUAACCGUAUAGGGGAGCCGCAGGGAAACCGAGUCUUAACUGGGCGUUAAGUUGCAGGGUAUAGACCCGAAACCCGGUGAUCUAGCCAUGGGCAGGUUGAAGGUUGGGUAACACUAACUGGAGGACCGAACCGACUAAUGUUGAAAAAUUAGCGGAUGACUUGUGGCUGGGGGUGAAAGGCCAAUCAAACCGGGAGAUAGCUGGUUCUCCCCGAAAGCUAUUUAGGUAGCGCCUCGUGAACUCAUCUUCGGGGGUAGAGCACUGUUUCGGCUAGGGGGUCAUCCCGACUUACCAACCCGAUGCAAACUACGAAUACCGAAGAAUGUUAUCACGGGAGACACACGGCGGGUGCUAACGUCCGUCGUGAAGAGGGAAACAACCCAGACCGCCAGCUAAGGUCCCAAAGUCAUGGUUAAGUGGGAAACGAUGUGGGAAGGCACAGACAGCCAGGAUGUUGGCUUAGAAGCAGCCAUCAUUUAAAGAAAGCGUAAUAGCUCACUGGUCGAGUCGGCCUGCGCGGAAGAUGUAACGGGGCUAAACCAUGCACCGAAGCUGCGGCAGCGAC